GAAAAACCUGGACUCGUCUUUGGGAAAAUCCGAACUUGACCUUUGACAACGCCGACUCGAAAUAGAAAAAACCGGGAUUCGAAACAAGGACUCUCUGUACGAGAAUGGAAAGUUUUUUCCUAGAGGAAUAGAUCAGUUAAUUGCGACGGCGUAUCGCUUUAAAUCCAUCUCUUGUCGUCGCUGUCGUGGUUUUCCAUCGACGAGAAAUCAACUUUCCAUCAAGGUAUCGCAGGCUCAGAAUGGG
This is a non-coding RNA of Paramuricea clavata, 244 nucleotides long. Lineage: Eukaryota; Metazoa; Cnidaria; Anthozoa; Malacalcyonacea; Plexauridae. The record is from the annotation of a GenBank genome assembly.